This is a long non-coding RNA of Onychostoma macrolepis, 1690 nucleotides long. RefSeq lists it as uncharacterized. Lineage: Eukaryota; Metazoa; Chordata; Actinopteri; Cypriniformes; Cyprinidae. The transcript is spliced from 3 exons. The record is from RefSeq and is a predicted model, not a curated record.
UCUAGAAGAAUUGCUAAUAUACAGCGUCAUGUUUGUGAAGUUUCAGUGUCUUUAAUUAUUAUACUUUAUAGUUCUAAUUGUAAAAAAUUGUCAUAGCCUUUGAAUUGCUUUUUUUAGCAAAUCUACUCAGCCCUAUAAUGAGACUCCAUUGAUGUACUUGAGCAAUUGGAUGGACAUUUGCAUUCUUAGCAGAUGUUUAAUCAUCCAAACAGAGUGCUAGAAUGUUCACAUAUAGUGCAAGUAGCGAAUACUAAAAUCUGUAGCUCUACUGUGAUAUAACGAGUAUGAGAAGAAUGAAGCUGAUGCUGUGAAAGUGCUGGAUUGAGGUGAGUAACUAAAGAUCAGUCAAGUCAACAAGAGCCACACAAAUCUGAUGUUCCUGCAGGUUAUUGGCUGCACUGUUAGACAUUUCUGUAAUUUCUGCAGUUAUUUACUGUAUAUCACCCAGUAUAAUACUGCAAAUUCCCUUUACGGUAAAUAACUGUAAUACCCUUUGCAUCAUGGGAAUUUUCUGUGACGUCAGACCCCACAUACAGAGAAUUACUGUAUUUUUUAAAAUUGCUGUAUACUACUGUAUUUGCUGUAACGGCCUCUUUGGCGCCAUUCUAUUGAGGUUGUUUUAUUUUCCUCAUUUCUCACAUUUGGAUUGACACGAUUUGCCCUACACCGUGUCUACAACACCGCAACAGCUUGGGACUGACUACACUGGAUGUGUUACAUCGCUUGUAAUGAUUGGAAAAUCCGUUUGUACUUCGUGUCAGCAACAGCGCGAGCGCUUGGAGUACAUCUGCACGUCAGAAAUAUACCGGGGCAUCACUUUACUGUCCGCAUCCACUGUAGAUAAUAUAUAUAAUGGGUUCUAUAUUGUUUUUUAUCAAAUGGCGACGCAGGUUUUUCCCGGGGAUGAACCCACACGAGAGUGGAAGAGCUCCGGAGAACAUCUAUGCUGUGUGUCGAUGCACCUUACGAGAGAAUAAGGCCAGCAAGCAAGGCAACUGCAAUGAGGCAUCAAGAAAGAUAUGAACAUGCCAGCCACCCUGAGACUGAUAAUGCAUGAGAAGACAUUUAUGUCACUAACAAAGUGGAGGGUGAGCAAAGGUGGUGGCCAUGUUUUGGAGCAGCACCUGGGUUUUGCAGAUGGCUGUGUAUUCUUUGGCUGUUUGUCUUUUUCCCCCAUUAUGUUUCUGUUGCCUAAAGAUUCUUUGUGAGGAUGAAUCCAGAGGACACAACAUAAUGCACUGCAAAACGUCCUAAGACAGGAGAAAUGCUGAAGUUGCACUGUUCCAGCAUUGGAAGACUGUGGCCUCGUUUACACUAGUGCAUUUUCGUUUUAAAACGCAUAACUUUUGCUACGGUUACACCUAUCGUUUACACUAAUAACGAUGGCGUGGCUGGCCACAUUCCCACUGCGUAUCCUUGACGACCGUGUAAACAAUAACAUCAUCCUCAUUAUUGUACCCAUAGAUAUGUAUGGGUAGAUUCCCCAUUCGACCGCUCCAAGCACGCAGAUGCGUCCGCCAUCUAAAUAACAGGGAUCUACCUAUACAUAUCUAUGGUUGUACCUGUAUGAAUGGUCACGUGGCAUGCUUUUUCGGUUGUGUAGUGUAAACGGGGAUCGUUUUCAUUCUAAACCGCCAUUUUAAAACGAAAACGCACUAGUGUAAACGGGGCCUAAAUUUUUAAGUGUUAU